UACGGAGGGUGCGAGCGUUGUUCGGAAUUAUUGGGCGUAAAGCGCGUGUAGGCGGUUUGCUCAGUCUGAUGUGAAAGCCCUGGGCUCAACCUGGGAAGUGCAUUGGAUACUGGCAGACUUGAGUACGGGAGAGGGUAGUGGAAUUCCCAGUGUAGGAGUGAAAUCCGUAGAUAUUGGGAGGAACACCGGUGGCGAAGGCGGCUGCCUGGACCGAUACUGACGCUGAGACGCGAAAGCGUGGGGAG
RNAcentral lists this ribosomal RNA (245 nucleotides) under uncultured Geobacter sp. RNAcentral describes it as "partial 16S ribosomal RNA". It matches the Rfam family "Bacterial small subunit ribosomal RNA", at positions 524 to 768 of the family's 1533-position model. The record is from RNAcentral. Lineage: Bacteria; Pseudomonadati; Thermodesulfobacteriota; Desulfuromonadia; Geobacterales; Geobacteraceae.